UCGGGAAUAUUGCGCAAUGGAGGAAACUCUGACGCAGUGACGCCGCGUAUAGGAAGAAGGUCUUCGGAUUGUAAACUAUUGUCGUUAGGGAAGAAAAAGGACAGUACCUAAGGAGGAAGCUCCGGCUAACUACGUGCC
RNAcentral lists this ribosomal RNA (138 nucleotides) under uncultured bacterium. Its description in RNAcentral is "partial 16S ribosomal RNA". It matches the Rfam family "Bacterial small subunit ribosomal RNA", at positions 355 to 509 of the family's 1533-position model. The record is from RNAcentral.